Molecule: ribosomal RNA, 757 nt
Filed under: uncultured bacterium
Lineage: Bacteria
Description: bacterial SSU rRNA
Rfam family: Bacterial small subunit ribosomal RNA
Source: RNAcentral
AGAGUUUGAUCAUGGCUCAGAAUCAACGCUGGCGGNNNGCCUAACACAUGCAAGUCGAACGAGAAAGCGGGGCAACCUCGUGAGUAAAGUGGCGUACGGGUGAGUAACACGUGGAUUAUCUACCCUCUUGUGGGGGAUAACUCUGGGAAACCGGAGCUAAUACCGCAUAAGCUCGAGAGAGGAAAGCAGCAAUGCGCAGGAGGAGGAGUCCGCGGCCGAUUAGCUAGUUGGUAGGGUAAAAGCCUACCAAGGCUGAGAUCGGUAGCCGGCCUGAGAGGGCACACGGCCACACUGGCACCGAAACACGGGCCAGACUCCUACGGGAGGCAGCAGUGGGGAAUCUUGCACAAUGGGGGAAACCCUGAUGCAGCGACGCCGCGUGAGCGAUGAAGCCCUUCGGGGUGUAAAGCUCUUUCGGCAGGGAAGAUUACGACGGUACCUGCAGAAGCAGCUGCGGCUAACUACGUGCCAGCAGCCGCGGUAAUACGUAGGCAGCAAGCGUUGUUCGGAGUUACUGGGCGUAAAGGGUGUGUAGGCGGUCCUCUAAGUUUGGUGUGAAAUCUCCCGGCUCAACUGGGAGGGUGCGCCGAAAACUGGAGGGCUAGAGUACUGGAUGGGAGAGUGGAAUUCCUGGUGUAGCGGUGAAAUGCGUAGAUAUCAGGAGGAACACCUGUGGUGUAGACGGCUCUCUGGACAGUAACUGACGCUGAGACACGAAAGCGUGGGUAGCAAACAGGAUUAGAUACCCUAGUAGUCC